This 235-nucleotide ribosomal RNA is filed under the name Planococcaceae bacterium Storch 2/2-2. RNAcentral describes it as "partial 23S ribosomal RNA". It matches the Rfam family "Bacterial large subunit ribosomal RNA", at positions 2688 to 2925 of the family's 2925-position model. The record is from RNAcentral. Lineage: Bacteria; Bacillati; Bacillota; Bacilli; Caryophanales; Caryophanaceae.
AGGACCGGGAUGGACACACCGCUGGUGUAUCAGUUGUCUCGCCAGAGGCAUCGCUGAGUAGCUACGUGUGGACGGGAUAAAUGCUGAAAGCAUCUAAGCAUGAAGCCCCCCUCAAGAUGAGAUUUCCCAAUUCAGUAAGAUCCCUCAAAGAUGAUGAGGUAGAUAGGUCUGAGGUGUAAGUAUGGCGACAUACGCAGCUGACAGAUACUAAUCGAUCGAGGACUUAACCUAUUAU